Molecule: ribosomal RNA, 1967 nt
Filed under: human gut metagenome
Description: bacterial LSU rRNA
Rfam family: Bacterial large subunit ribosomal RNA
Source: RNAcentral
GAAAGUAAGCAAGGGCAGACGGUGGAUGCCUUGGCUCUCGGAGGCGACGAAGGACGUGAUAAGCUGCGAAAAGCCCGGGGGAGGCGCAAAUAGCCCUUGAUCCCGGGAUAUCCGAAUGGGGCAACCCGGCAGGUUGAAGGCCUGUCAUCCCGAAAGGGAGGCGAACGUGGGGAACUGAAACAUCUAAGUACCCAUAGGAGGAGAAAAUAAACAAUGAUUCCGUAAGUAGUGGCGAGCGAACACGGAAGAGCCCAAACCCGUGUCGUCUAGGCGAUACGGGGGUUGUAGGACCACGACGUGGCAAGAUAGAGUCAAGUGGAACGCCUUGGAAAGGGCGACCGUAGAGGGUGAUAGUCCCGUACACGACUGACGAUUGAAGCCUAGUGGUAUCCUGAGUAGCGCGGGGCACGAGAAAUCUUGCGUGAAACAGCGGGGCCCAUCCCGUAAGGCUAAAUACUCCCGAGAGACCGAUAGCGAACCAGUACCGUGAGGGAAAGGUGAAAAGAACCCCGAGCAGGGGAGUGAAAUAGACCCUGAACCCGUCUGCCUACAAGCGGUCGGAGCGUCGUAAUGACGUGACGGCGUGCCUUUUGCAUAAUGAACCUACGAGUUACCUUCCCCGGCAAGGUUAAGUACCUAAGGUACGGAGCCGAAGCGAAAGCGAGUCUGAACAGGGCGCCAAGUCGGGGGGGGUAGACGCGAAACCGAGUGAUCUACCCUUGGCCAGGUUGAAGGUUGGGUAACACCAACUGGAGGACCGGAUGGGUAAGCGUUGAAAAGCUUUCCAAUGAGCUGAGGGUAGGGGUGAAAGGCUAAUCAAACUCGGAGAUAGCUCGUACUCCCCGAAAUGCAUUUAGGUGCAGCCUCUUUAUAGUAUAUCGUGAGGUAGAGCGACUGAUUGGAUGCGAGGGCUUCACCGCCUAUCAAGUCCAGAUAAACUCCGAAUGCGCGAUAUAUAUUUACAGGGAGUGAGGGCGCGGGUGCUAAGGUCCGUGUCCGAGAGGAGAAGAAUCCAGACCACCGGCUAAGGCCCCCAAAUGAUCGUUAAGUUGAACUAACGAGGUCGGAUCGCAGAGACAGCUAGGAUGUUGGCUUGGAAGCAGCCAUUCAUUUAAAGAGUGCGUAACAGCUCACUAGUCGAGCGAUCUGGCGUGGAUAAUAAUCGGGCAUAAACGAUCUGCCGAAGCCGUGGAUGUCGCAAGACAUGGUAGGGGAGCAUUCCAUGCGGCGUCGAAGAUGAGGGAUGACCCUUGUUGGAGCGCAUGGAAAAGCAAAUGUAGGUAUGAGUAACGAUAAGGGGGGCGAGAAACCCCCCCGCCGAAAGACCAAGGUUUCCUGAUCAACGCUAAUCGGAUCAGGGUGAGUCGGGACCUAAGGCAAAGCCGAACGGCGCCGCCGAUGGAAGAAUGGGUUAAUAUUCCCAUACUGCCUCAUGGAGUGACGUGGAGACGGAGAAGUGACAGUCCUGCCGGCUGACGGAAUAGCCGGUUGAAGGGUGUAGGUGUCGAUCGCGGUAGGCAAAUCCGCCGCGAGAGCCGAACCUGACAGUAUACGGAGCGCUUGCGCAACGUAAUAUGGACGUAACCAUGCUCCCAAGAAAAUCCGCUAAACUUAUCCAUGCGGCACCCGUACCGUAAACGGACACACGUGGUCGGGUUGAGAAUACUGAGGCGCUCGAGUGAUUCACGGUUAAGGAACUAGGCAAAUUGACCCUGUAACUUCGGGAUAAAGGGUCCUCGUCGUAAGGCGAGGCGCAGAGAAUAGGUCCAGGCAACUGUUUAACAAAAACACAUGGCUGUGCUAAAUGGAAACAUGACGUAUACAGCCUGACACCUGCCCGGUGCCGGAAGGUUAAGAGGAGAUGUCAUCCGCGAGGAGAAGCGUUGAAUUGAAGCCCCGGUAAACGGCGGCCGUAACUAUAACGGUCCUAAGGUAGCGAAAUUCCUUGUCGGGUAAGUUCCGACCUG